UUGAAACCAACGCUGUUGUCAUUGUCUUUUCCUGUUUGCGUUAGCAGCUGUUCUGUGGUUAGCACUAUUUGUGCUCCACUGGCGUUUGUAACAUCUAUCAACGAGUGCGAAAAGGAAAGUGUGUUGGGGUUCAUUUACGGUGUGAAUUAUUUAACCAAUACAAAAGCGGUAACUUAUAUUAGCGUUUGUUUCUUUUCAUCUUCGACACAAUUAAAUUUCCAGGGCGAAAAGAGGAAUGCAGAAGGAGAAAGAUUUCCCAUGUCGUUGUGCAGUUACUUAAUUAAUUUUAUAAAUUAACACCCGUCUCUGAAUGCUUUCAAAUGGAAUUCAACACCAGUACAUCAUCGUCAGAAUCGUCGGCAGAUACACAUAUGUGAGACAAAGGAGUUCAUUUAACCGAUGUUAUAAAAAACAAGAGAUCUGGGAAUUACUAUAUAUCAUCACACGAAGAUUCUGACGAAGACGAUCCUUAUGCGGAUGCAGAAUUUACAGAUGACGAAUAUAUACCACGACGGACAAUAACCCCAAUACCGUCUGAGCCUCUUUGCACCAGAGUGAGCAAAUCAAAAGUUAAGCGCCGACUAUUUACUAAAGAAGGCAGCGAGUGUGGUGGGGAACAAACACACAUCACCCAAAUUAAAAAAGCUUGUAGUAAGAUAAAAAUUUAUAACUCUGGUAAAGUUAUUCUUGAAACUACAGACACAUUUCAUGAAGGGAAGUAUAGUAGUCCAAAAGCUAUAAGGUUAUAUGGCCAUCAUAAAAUUAUCCCAUUGUGUCGAAGUUAAGUUGUUUACAAUAGAAAAGGGUUUAGGGUCGUAAAUAACGUGUCCACUGCAGCUCGACCGGCUGUUGUGGUUUCGUUCAGGGGCGGCUUUCACUAAAUAUGUAAAUCCACCAUUCCAUUAUUUAUUUACUACCUGCAGCCGCUGAGGGUUCCAAAAUAACCACUCGCUUUGAAAGCUGGCCCUGUUAAAUGUGAGCAAGAAAUGUUUAGAAAACGAUUUAUUGCCAACCGGUAAGCUUAGUGCGAACCGCAUAAAGGGGAUAUUUAUUUGUGGUCAACUACUUUUAUGAUGGUCAUAUAACCUUAUAGCUUUUGGACUAGUAUACAAUGUCAGUAUGUUCAGUGCUGGACUGUGUCAUUCUGAUGAAAGAUAUCUGAGUUGUCACGUUUUCGACCAAAGUAUUAAUCACGAUUGUAAAUGUAGGUAUACUUGCUUCCAAAAUAAGAGAGUAAAACUACCUGCAAAACUGACUUGACUUUUAGGGAUUUCCAACCCUAAGCGGUAGGUGGGCCAAUAGGAAUGAUUGACAGCUUGUAACAGGUAUAAUGGAUUAAGCUUAUUAUGAUAUCCUAAAAGUCAAGUCAGUUUUACAUGUAGUUUUACUCUCUUAUUUUGGAAGCAAGUACAAUAAUGAUCACUUAUAGCGAACCCGGUUAAAGCGAACUUCCUGAUAUAACGAACCAACUUGCAAAGUACGAACUGAAGUACUAUAAGAUAAGUGUUAUUUUUUUCCGAUUAUAACGAACCCGCUUAUAGCGAACUUUCGGAUAAAAUGAACCAAAUUUUUAAUAUUUAAGAAAAAAAAAUCGUUUAUAACGAACUUUUUCACCAGUCUCGACAAUGGACAGGAACACUUUUGUGUGAAUCUAUUAGAUCCCGUCAAUUUUAUCAGUAUAGCAUGGCAAAAAGUAUCAGAACAAACAAUUGCUAAUUGUUUUCGACAUGCUGGGUUUCUCCAGUGUGAGGAAAAAUUUGAACCAGGGGUGGGAUUUUGUUUCUACCGAUACGAUACGAUACGAAGCGAUAAAUGACAAGGACGAAAAUAUAAAUUUCAGAUGCGAAAGAAAAAGACGACAUUUUAUCGGUACCGAUAUUUUAUCGUUAUAGAAACAAAAUCCCACCCUAGAAGACGAACUACUAUUGGCUGAAUGGCUGAGUAAGCACGAAAGCAAUUCUGACGAUGAAUUUGAUAUCGACUUCGAAGAAUAUUUUAGUGAAGUCUGAAAUUUUGGAUGAUGCUGCUAUUGUAGAAUUAGUUCAAUGCAACAUUCAAAUAGAAGAUGAGACUGAAGACGAUGAUGAUAACGAAGAAGAAGAAGAAGAAAAAGAGGGAACGAUCCCAAAACCCUCUUAAAUUAAUCUUUCUCACAAGAAGCAACGUAAAAUUUGAGAUUAUUGUAACAACUUUUAUUUUUAAUCAACUUUUAUUAAUCAAGUUUUUUUUUCUUAUAUGUACUACUGUAUUAUUAUCUUUACAUGUUAAUAUUUUUGUAAUACUUUUAAAUGUUGCAUCCUGAAAUACAUAGUUCAGUUUAUGAAAGUAUGUAUUGAUUUUUUUGAGAUCAUUUAUGACGAACUUCGGAUAUAACGAACUACUUUUCCCAGUCCCAUGAGUGCACUGUUAUUUAGAAUCGUCGUAUGGUAAGAACAUUGGUUUUUUUAUAUAGACAAGAAAAAAAUUUAAUAUGUGAUAUACUAUUUUGUAUUCCAUCCAAUAUAGUAUUAGAAGCUACCGAAACAAAAGCAGAUCACAUAAAUCAAAUAAUAACACCUUUAAUAAUGCAGCCUGUAGAUUCUGAACGGAAACCUUCUACAAAAUUGAAAGGACACUAUUGUUACUAUUGCGGUAAAUUAAGAACCUGCAUGGGUCGCCAUUUGCAAAAGGUCCAUGCAAAAGAAGCUGAAGUGAAAAACAUGUGCUUCAAGCCAACAAAGGAGAAAAACAAACUGUUACGUCAGCUUCGAUUGAAAGGUGAUCAAAAAUUUAAUUGCAAGUUAAUUUACAUCAAAGACGAAAACCGAUAAGACAAAAGUUAAGUGAAAGUAUUCACUGCCCCAUUUGUUCUGGUUUGUUUGCAAAACGAAAUUUUGCCAAAGAUGAAUUAAGAUGUUCAAAAAGAGCUCCAGACAGAAGGCGACGGCGGCAAAAUGCUUUAUUUUAGAUCAGGGACAGAUGUCAAAAAGUUUAGAGGAAAAACUUCAUAUUAAACUCGUAAGCAACAUGAUAAAUGAUGAUAUUGGUGUAGUAGCAAAAAAUGAUCAAACAAUACUUUUGCUUGGAAUACAUUUACGCAAGCUAAACUCAUUGAUAACACUAGAUCACAGAUGAGGCGAUGUGCAAAAUUGUUUUUGAUUAUUAAACAGCUGUUUUAUGCCAUCGAAAUACAAAUUAAUAAUGUAGGCCAUACGUACUCUUACAGGUUCUAAAGAUGAAGAGGUUAUCACCACUCCAUCUCUUGCUUUACAGUUCGGUCCAUUAUUGACGAAAAUUGCCUCUCGUUUAAAAAUUCGGCUUCUUGAAAAUAAUGUAGCUGAAUAAGAUCCACGAAUGAUAACGCUUAGAAAUUUUGAAAUGUUACAUAAACAAGAAUUUAAAAAUGAAAUUACUAAAACGGCUUUAAAAACGGCGAACAUUAAAAGUGUUAAAACCACAAAGGAAAUACCAAGUCAGGAUGCUGUAAAAGUGUUCAACGAAUACGUUAAAAAUAUUUUGAGUCAAAGCACAGGACAACUGAAAAGUGGAAAUUUGGACAUUAGAUCCUGGAAGACAUUGGGUGAAUGUAUAUUAUGCGAAAUAAUAAUAUAUAAUCGUAGACGAUUAGGAAGGAGAAAGUUCCCGCAUGCUUUUGGAAGAUUACAAAACAAGAAAACAGCUCUAACAUAAAAAUUAUAAACAUCUUAAUCUCCGUCAACGUAUAUUGGCCGAAAAAUUUUCAUUUAUGUUCAUCUUGGGUAAACGACAUACACCUCUUAAUCUGCUGCUGAAACCAUAUAAAAGCCCUCGAAUUUUAUAUGUCAUUUCGACAGCAAGCACAAAUUCAAGAAAAUAAUGUAUUUCUCUUUGCUUUCAAUAAUAAUAAUGGUCACCUCUAAGCGUCAGUGGCCCUUCGAAAAUUUGUUCAUAACGCUAACCUUAGAACACCCAGAUAGAGCACCCUGGUAUUUACUUAAGGAAGCAAGUAGCUACCCAGGCACAGAUCUUAGAUCUAGCCCAUAAUGAAAUGCAGCACGUGGCAGAUUACAUAGCACAUGAUUUAAAUAUACAUUUGUCGAACUGUAGACUGAAUGAUGCUUCAGUUAACAUUUUUACGUUAUCAAGGUUUUUGAGUGUUAUUGAUGGAGAAGAUGAUAUUGAGAAAUAUCGAGGAAAAAGAUUAGAAGACUUAGAACCGUUUAUUCCUCAUGAAGACUAUGACGUUGGACAUAUGAUUAAUGAUGAACCAAGUAUUGAAAAAAGAAGCACACUACUUGUUAAAACACCGCCGAAGAAACGAAGUCCUCUAAAAGUAGUUAGUUCGACAUCUUCACGAAAUCCAACAACUCAAGAAAUUGAAAGUCAGUUAACAAAUCUGUCAUUACGUUUAUAUCACAGCUCUUUAUGUAAGAGGGGAAGAAAGUUAAAGUGGACUACAGAAGAUAUACAUAUCAUGCAUAGAGAGUUCAAGGAAUAUUUAAAAAAUAAAAGAUUGCCACAACUUUCUCUUCGCAGGCUUAUUCAAAGAAAAUAUUUCCAUAUUUUUCAUAAGGGGCGAUCUGUGGGUGCAAAAUAGAGUCCGAAAUGUUGUUGAGAUCUAAUAAAAUAAAGUGUUGAAUAAAA
Zophobas morio is the source of this 4602-nucleotide long non-coding RNA. RefSeq lists it as uncharacterized. The transcript is spliced from 9 exons. NCBI's taxonomy places the organism in Eukaryota, Metazoa, Arthropoda, Insecta, Coleoptera, Tenebrionidae. The record is from RefSeq and is a predicted model, not a curated record.